This is a long non-coding RNA of Clupea harengus (Atlantic herring), 3895 nucleotides long. The record is from Ensembl. NCBI's taxonomy places the organism in Eukaryota, Metazoa, Chordata, Actinopteri, Clupeiformes, Clupeidae.
UCUGAUAGGGUGCAGGGGACUCCAAGUUUAGCAGCUAUGUGCGUUUGAAAACGUUGUGAAUUGUAACUCAAAUUGUGCUCACAAUGGAGUCAGUCUAUUCCCAUAUGACAAACACAUGCUUAGGAUAAUGCUGCAAUUAGCAGUGCGGCCACAGCGAUGGAGAGCUGCGCAAGAGGAAUGGAAGCGGGGCAAGGUUGUGACAGUUCAUUAGACACAAGUGCCUGUGUUACCCUGCUGCGGCGGCUCUCAGCCCUGGAGGGCUGUUUUCUGCGGACUAAUGCCAGAUCUUCUCCUUGAUAUCUGAUUCAUCUGGACAUUUAACAAUCCAAGGAUGAAGCUACUUUCCCUGUGCUGUCUGUCACACCACGAGAACCUCUUCAUUUCCUCCACACCGGCUGAGAUCUUCCUGCCUCCACAAUGGCAUUUUGUGGCCGCUCUUAUAGCGUACUCCUCUGGAUCUGCCAGCUGUGUUUUUGGACUGCAGCCAUUCCUGGAAGGUGAGGGACGUUUGGUUGUUUUGAUGAGGCUCAGGAAGUGGCUGUGGCAGACAUUCCCCGCUCUUUCCAGAAGAACAGUGGAGCUGACAGGCACACCCAGCUGUCCCCACCAUGACCCAGUCCACUGAGGCUCCCAUGCCAGCAGGGGUGACCCGACAUGGGACUACUGGGACGCGCUUGAAAGGGGAUGGCGUGUCAGUCCACCUUCUAAUAAUGUUGCCUUACAUGCACAACUCAUGCAAACUUUUCAUUACAAUUUGUAUUUGCUGUGUUAUUGUUCGAGCUAUGCAGGCAGAUUUUUUUUUACAUUUUGCAUUUGGUGGUGAUGCAAAGUGAUGAUGGUGGAGUAGAAUGAGUUUAGUUUAGUUGACUCUUGAGGGAGAGUGAGAUAUUUUACUUUAAUAUAAUAGUUUUUUUACUUUUACAUUUAUUUUUUCAGUGCUAAAUAUUUUAGAAGCAUUUUAAGACCCCUGGGUUGCAUAAGCGUGGUCUGGAAGCAAGUUGAUUUGAAUGAACUGGAAAAAGGUGCACAUCUCACCUGCCUAGCGAGCUAAACAAAUGACAUACUCCACACUUCAAGCACAUUGGGGGCAGACUUGUAUCACUGAAAUUUACAAUGCGUAGCAACCCAUUACUUGUUGACUUCAAGUUUCAAUGAAUUUCCGUUACGUUAAGUGAACAGACUACCUGCGGAAUGAUAUGACAGAUGUGAAUUGGAAGCACAAAACCUGUUGCCAAUGGCGGCGGUCAUUAUUUGUUUUGCAGCAGUCACAUCAGACCUCUGAACGUUGGGGUGGCCCAUUCAAAUCAAUGGGACAUUUUGCAACAUUCUGAGGACUCGUAUUAUAAUGAUGUUGUUUUAACGUCUGAUUAACCUUUUGCAUAUUUAUGGCACCUGAUGGCCACUGUAGCUUCUCCUGCAUGCUUGAAAAGGGAGAAGUAUUCAGUUGUUUGCAACCUGCAGCCUCACCACUAUACGCCACUAAAUCCUACAUGCUGUGCCUUUAACCGAUGGGCUUGUCACUAACUGCAGGAUAGCCAAGCUGUUGCUGCAGUAACUCACUAUCCCCUCUUGAAGUACAAAGUAGUAUUAUGAGAGGACUAACUAGCUGGUUAGCAUGCUAGAUAUCUUGGCAACACAGUACAUAAGCAUUUUGGACCUUAUGAUAUUUUUUGAGCAUUUUUUAAUGUUUUAAACAAACAUUCUUGCAUAUAGCACCUUUUAAAGAGUGAUAUUAGAUAUAUAUCUUUCAGACCAUGGCCAUGGCAACCUAGUCUUAUCUAGUUCAUAAUUCAAUUAGGCCUACAUAAUCUUUUCAAAAAAGUAUACAUAAUUAAGUCAGUUUGUAAAAUGCUAUUUAUGAAAUAAUUCAGUAUACGUUUAAACCACUGACUAUAUUUUCAAUGUUUAGAAUCUGACUAUGGUUCAAGCCUUCUUAACUCAGAUUUGUCAUUUCAACCCCCUGUGGCACAUGAUCAAGUUCUCCAUCCUCCUCAGAUCUCGAUGUGGGUAUGAGUUCACUGUGCCACAUUCUCUGAGCAAAGAGCAAGUUUGGUUUCUCUCUGUAACCGAAUCGCAAGAAAAUGAGCCACAAAUAAGCUUCAAUAAAAGACAGGGAAUACCCGUCCUCCUCUAAUUGAGGUUAACACUUCAUAGCUGAAGGCUGCAGGCUAUCCCAUCAGAUCCCUUUCAGAAAACCAAUAUCAGGGGCAGGGUCUAAUAACAGACAUCGAUAUCUGUCAUUAUCAUGCGCAACCGCCUCAAGGCUGGCUAUGAACAGGCUGACACCUAGACACAGCCUGGUUUUAGAUCACAUAUUUUACCACCAUAAUCAAACUAUUAUGAGGGCUUCGUAGGAUUUACUUUCCCAAACUAAGAAUAGUUUAGAAAAAUCAUAAAAUGAUGCAGUAAAGGUGAUUGGUGCUUUGGACCCAGAGAGUAAACCUGAACGCUCAGUUCCCUCACCACUGAAUGGGUUUGAGUGGAGAGGUUUGCUGCCAGCCUACACACACACACACACACACACACACUUUUGAUCAAUAGUGACCCAGUUCAGGAACUUCCUCCAUCAGUGCCUGAAGAGGCACCAGGCGUUUGGAUGAAAAUUACAUUCUUUCAGUCAAUUUCCAGGGCUGUGUCCUCAGCUGCCUGACAAACGGCGGCAUUAAUCCACUUCAUGUCAAACAAAAUGUCUGAUUUAUGUCACAGAUUUGGAUUAGGAUGUAAUACACGUCCGAGCGAGGGGAAAAAGGUGCCAUUUCUCAGUGUGCUUGUUUCUCAGGCACUCGGCAUGCUCACGUGCAACCUUUCAAACAUUCGCUUCUUAUCUCAGUGGAAGCAUGUGCUGGAUCCCCUCGUUCCUCUUGUGGGCCUGUGGUAUUCAAAUAUUCCUCCCCUGCAUACACAUCAGAAAUGAAUAGGGUGCCAUAGCAUGAAUAAUGCAUCGCUGGGGAGGACUGAUUUAUGAAUCAAACCUUUGAACCCCCUCCAGUUCAUCAAAACGGGUGGGGUCUGAAAAGGAAGCCAGUGUAUUGUGUGACUGACGACAGACCUUGGUGAGUUAUCUCCUUUACUGGGUUAUACAAACACAGCCCAAGCAGAACACCCAGCAGCCCCCCAUUCCUCUCCCCCCACUCCCCCCUCUCUAUUCUUCAAGCUGGGAUGCGUUUGUGGCCGGGCCCAUGUAACAAGGCAUGACGGCUCACUGAUGUAUGGUAAGCACUGCGGAUUGUGUGGACCUUUUAAGGAUUACUGAAAGUAAUGUGUGACAGGGGCCACAGUUGUAUUAGAUAUGCAGGGAGAAGGGAGAGGUACACUUUUCAGUAGUAGCUCAUAUUUUUUUUUAUUGUAUGCUUGUGAUUAUACAAUGAAAGGGAAAUAGACUGUCAGUAUGACACACAACUCUUGUCAUUUGUAAUGUUAGUUCCAAUAAAAUAAACACAUUCCACAAAAGCAAGUAUGAACGAAGCACAAAGACAAAACUAAAUAUGAUCUUACCUACAAAAUGUAUAUCAUGUAUGUUAUAAUGUGCCAUGUGAGAGACAAUAUAUUGGCAGACAAAAUAAGAUCAUAAACUAGUCCCGUAAUCAAGUUACAGAAGUGGUAGACUGGAAUGGCUGUGUGGGUAAAUCUAAUUACCCCUUCCUAAUAAAACACACACUGCAACAGAAGCCAUGUUUUUAUGGUCGAAAUUCAAUAAUCACAGAGUGCUUUUCUACUGAAUUCCAUUCAGUGGACAAUGAACUUCAAUUCUACUUAAGCGAUCAAUGCCUGGGGGAACACAACAAUGCAUGUAGAGUGCACAGGCUUUCUACUUAAAUGUCUUUUCUAAUGGAGGAAUUUUUUCUCUGUCACUUUUGUUUUUGCUUUUGCUGUGCUUGUCCCACACAUCAUCAGC